RNAcentral lists this ribosomal RNA (244 nucleotides) under uncultured bacterium. RNAcentral describes it as "partial 16S ribosomal RNA". It matches the Rfam family "Bacterial small subunit ribosomal RNA", at positions 524 to 767 of the family's 1533-position model. The record is from RNAcentral.
UACGAAGGGGGCUAGCGUUGCUCGGAAUCACUGGGCGUAAAGGGUGCGUAGGCGGGAUCUUAAGUCAGAGGUGAAAGCCUGGAGCUCAACUCCAGAACUGCCUUUGAUACUGGGAUUCUUGAGUUCGGGAGAGGUGAGCGGAACUGCGAGUGUAGAGGUGAAAUUCGUAGAUAUUCGCAAGAACACCAGUGGCGAAGGCGGCUCACUGGCCCGAUACUGACGCUGAGGCACGAAAGCGUGGGAU